AUGCGUGUCAAGAUUUCAGAGUUGCUUGCAUAUCUGUGUAUCCCUAUUUUUCAUCUGUACAUGUAAACCACUAUUUGCACAUGCAGAAUGGAUCCUUAGAUGUGCAAACACUUGAUCUCCUUGCAUAAAUAUUUUUGCAAGCAGGUCAGUGUAUGAGAAUGGCUACAAGAAAUACAGGCUUCCUCGGCCCUGCUUCCACUGUUACCACUUUAAGAUGUCUGUGGAAAUCAAAGAACGUGGUCCUGGGAUCUGGAAGUUAAGAGAUGGUAGCCAUACUGGGCCCAGCGGAGCUGAAGGUCUUGUAACUUGUGUCCUCGAGGGAGAAACUGCUCUCAAACCCUGCCUACAUGACCUCGGUCUAUCUAUACGGAAAGCCUUCAGAGAUACACAAGUAGGUAAAUAUCACAGGGCUUUGCAACUAGGAAAAUGGAUUUAUAUGAAGUUACUGCGGAAAUUCAACUGAGUUCUGUAGCCCCAACUUUUUUUUUUCUUUCUUUCUUUUUUUUUUUUUUUUAACCUUGUGCUCCUUACUAAUCAUCACUGGAAGAAGGGGAGGAUAUAAAGUGGCUGAGACUACAGCUGCAUAAGACUUACUAUUUUGACUGUCAGUAUUUUGUUUGCUCUAGGUAUUUGCUUGGCACAAAUAAAUUAUAGGCCAAAUCCUCA
This 666-nucleotide long non-coding RNA is filed under the name Struthio camelus australis. RNAcentral's name for it is "lncRNA (ENSSCUG00000010712.1)". Lineage: Eukaryota; Metazoa; Chordata; Aves; Struthioniformes; Struthionidae. The record is from RNAcentral.